AGGGAAGAAGCCCCGUUCUCCAACGUUCAGGCUGGAGCUGACCCUCUGCGGGGAGCGCGAUCUGGGGAAGGAGGCGUCCGUGGGCGGAGCCGAGGAAGUCAACGUGCUGGUGUCUCGGUGUGCUGUGGCGAUUGUGUAUCGCGCCGUUUCCCAGUGCCCUCAGCAGAGCUCUUCCCACCCUAAGUCAGAUCGGCCGCAGACAGGGUCUUGCUAUGCAUGUGACGAAGUCUUCACAAUCCUUUUGCUCCAGUUUACCGAUAGCUGGGAUUAAAGGUUAUAUACUGUGACAGCUCCAGGAACUGCUCCAUUAUACUGACAUAAAACUCUGUUUGUUCAUUAAUUUUCUGUAAAGCCCAUUGGGCUUUAAAAGUAGCUCUUCAUGUGUUCCAUGUUCACUGAUUUUUCCUUGAUCAAGGACAGCAACAAAAUUGGCAUUCUUAAUAGUGGACAGGCGGUGAGCUAUGAUCAAUACUGUUCUUCCUUCCAUCAGCCGAUCAAGUGCCUCCUGUACCAGAUGCUCAUUUUCAGCAUCCAGUGCACUGUAACAGACAAGGUCACACACAAGAGGAAGCAGAGAUGUUAGAGAUGCACACAUGGUUGCACACAUUAUUGAGCUACUCCCCCUUGGACACACACACAUCACUGUGACACCCUCCAACAUGGCUACACAUAUUAGACACUCUAACAUGCUUACACAUAUCACAGAGAUACCCUCACCUGGUUGCUUCAUCAAGGAGAAGAAUUUUCGGGUUCUGAAGAAGGAAAGAGAAAAUGAUUUAUUAGCAGACACAGCUCUGGGCAGGAAGAAGGAACAGCAUGGGCUGCUGAGAAGGCUCAGCAAGUAAAGACACUUAACCACCAAACCUGACAACCUGAAUUCGAUUUCCAAAUCCCACAUCAUUAGAAGGAGAGAACUGCCUUCCACAAUUUGUUCACUGACCUUUGAGUAUCCUUCACCCCAAGAUAAAUAAUACAUAAAAUAAAAAUAUGAUUUUUUUUACUA
This is a long non-coding RNA of Mesocricetus auratus (golden hamster), 1003 nucleotides long. RefSeq lists it as uncharacterized. NCBI's taxonomy places the organism in Eukaryota, Metazoa, Chordata, Mammalia, Rodentia, Cricetidae. The record is from RefSeq and is a predicted model, not a curated record. The transcript is spliced from 2 exons.